Molecule: ribosomal RNA, 443 nt
Filed under: uncultured bacterium
Lineage: Bacteria
Description: partial 16S ribosomal RNA
Rfam family: Bacterial small subunit ribosomal RNA
Source: RNAcentral
CCUACGGGAGGCUGCAGUGGGGAAUAUUGGGCAAUGGAGGCAACUCUGAUCCAGCAACGCCGCGUGAAUGAUGAAGGUCUUCGGAUUGUAAAGUUCUGUGAUGGGGGAUGAACACAAUGACGGUACCCCAAUAGCAAGCCACGGCUAACUACGAGCCAGCAGCCGCGGUAAUACGUAGGCGGCAAGCGUUAUCCGGAAUGACUGGGCGUAAAGGGUGCGUAGGUGGUUUAGUAAGUUGGCGGUGUAAUUCCGGGGCUCAACCGCGGCGCUAUCGCAAAAACUAUUAGACUAGAGUGCAGGGGGGGUAAGCGGAAUUCCUAGUGUAGCGGUGGAAUGCGUAGAUAUUAGGAGGAACAGCAGGGGCGAAGGCGACUUACUGGACUGUAACUGACGCUGAGGCACGAAAGCGUGGGGAGCAAACAGGAUUAGAUACCCUUGUAGUC